RNAcentral lists this ribosomal RNA (253 nucleotides) under uncultured bacterium. RNAcentral describes it as "partial 16S ribosomal RNA". It matches the Rfam family "Bacterial small subunit ribosomal RNA", at positions 524 to 776 of the family's 1533-position model. The record is from RNAcentral.
UACAGAGGGUGCAAGCGUUAAUCGGAAUUACUGGGCGUAAAGCGUGCGUAGACGGUUAUGUAAGUCAGAUGUGAAAGCCCCGGGCUCAACCUGGGAAUUGCAUUUGAGACUGCAUAGCUAGAGUGCGGAAGAGGGAAGCGGAAUUUCCGGUGUAGCGGUGAAAUGCGUAGAUAUCGGAAGGAACACCAGUGGCGAAAGCGGCUUCCUGGUCCAGCACCGACGUUCAGGCACGAAAGCGUGGGGAGCAAACAGG